AAGCUCGAUCCCGAUGCUAAGGGAAAGUCCAAGUUAUGAACAGAGAGACGUAGGUGGCCGGGAUGGGAUCUAGGAAUGCAUUAGGACAUUUCAUUUAUAUUACCCCAUAAUUUUCAGUUAUUGUAUUUUUACAAUUAAAUGACCGUUUCCGCAUUUAUUAAAAACUCUGAGAUUUUGAAACCAUUAUUAUUUUUAUUUAUUUAAAUCAGCAUACUAGUUAAGAUA
Molecule: long non-coding RNA, 225 nt
Organism: Alnus glutinosa
Lineage: Eukaryota; Viridiplantae; Streptophyta; Magnoliopsida; Fagales; Betulaceae
Exons: 2
Source: RefSeq, a predicted model, not a curated record